This 69-nucleotide transfer RNA is filed under the name Ictidomys tridecemlineatus (thirteen-lined ground squirrel). Its description in RNAcentral is "Spermophilus tridecemlineatus (thirteen-lined ground squirrel) tRNA". It matches the Rfam family "tRNA". Rfam says of the family: Transfer RNA (tRNA) molecules are approximately 80 nucleotides in length. Their secondary structure includes four short double-helical elements and three loops (D, anti-codon, and T loops). Lineage: Eukaryota; Metazoa; Chordata; Mammalia; Rodentia; Sciuridae. The record is from Rfam by way of RNAcentral.
GGAGCUGUAGCUCAGCGGUUAAGCACUUGCCUCGCAUGCAUGAGGCACUGAGUUCAAUUCUCAGCACCA